RNAcentral lists this ribosomal RNA (250 nucleotides) under uncultured bacterium. Its description in RNAcentral is "partial 16S ribosomal RNA". It matches the Rfam family "Bacterial small subunit ribosomal RNA", at positions 524 to 776 of the family's 1533-position model. The record is from RNAcentral.
UACGGAGGAUGCAAGCGUUAUCCGGAAUUAUUGGGCGUAAAGCGUCCGUAGGUGGCUUUACAAGUCAGCUGUUAAAGCGUGGAGCUUAACUCCAUAAAGGCAGUUGAAACUGUGAGGCUAGAGUGCGGUAGGGGUAAGGGAAUUCCCAGUGUAGCGGUGAAUGCGUAGAGAUCGGGAAGAACAUCGGUGGCGAAGCGCUCUGCUGGACUGCGACUGACACUCAGGGACGAAAGCUAGGGGAGCGAAUGGG